UGAUUCCAUGGUUGUGGUGGCUCACAAUGGGUGUGGGUAAAGCAGGUCUCCAGGCUGUGACAUCCCUGAGGGGCAGCAGCUUUCAGAGGAUCCUGCUGGCCUGGGCAGAGCUGCAGGUAUUGGGGCAGAGCCAAAGCAGAGCAGAGCUUUGAUUCAGUCUCAGCCAGAUGGAGAUUUUCAGGCUUUGAGUUCCAGAGCAAUGGAGCAGCUCCAGCUGGGAUUUAUCUCCCUGAGCAAUGACUGCAAAGGAUGGAAGUUCUGAGAAGAGCUGCCUUUGCAGUGUGGGCUUGUGCUCCCUGAGGGCAAGGAGCUCGAGGUACCAUCAGAUCCAUCAGAUCAGCCUUGCUGGGGGUGGGAGGGCCAGCUCUGCCCUGCCUUCCUCUGCUGUGUCAGGAAGCAGUGACACGAGGCCUGAAUGUCCUCAAGAAUGGCUGGGACAAGUCAUCUCUAUCACCUGGGUAUUUCCACAUGGAAUUAUAGAGAAACAUCACGGA
Pseudopipra pipra is the source of this 494-nucleotide long non-coding RNA. RefSeq lists it as uncharacterized. Lineage: Eukaryota; Metazoa; Chordata; Aves; Passeriformes; Pipridae. The transcript is spliced from 2 exons. The record is from RefSeq and is a predicted model, not a curated record.